Molecule: ribosomal RNA, 200 nt
Filed under: uncultured bacterium
Lineage: Bacteria
Description: partial 16S ribosomal RNA
Rfam family: Bacterial small subunit ribosomal RNA
Source: RNAcentral
AGAGUUUGAUCCUGGCUCAGGACUAACGCUGGCGGCGUGCCUAACACAUGCAAGUCGAGCGGGGUAGCAAUACCCAGCGGCAGACGGGUGAGUAACACGUGGUCAACCUUCCCGAUAGUGGGGAUAACUAGCCGAAAGGUUAGCUAAUACCGCAUACGAUCUUCGAGAGGCAUCUUUUGAAGAUGAAAGGAGCAAUCCGC